RNAcentral lists this ribosomal RNA (959 nucleotides) under uncultured Bacteroidota bacterium. RNAcentral describes it as "bacterial SSU rRNA". It matches the Rfam family "Bacterial small subunit ribosomal RNA", at positions 9 to 994 of the family's 1533-position model. The record is from RNAcentral. Lineage: Bacteria; Pseudomonadati; Bacteroidota.
GAGUUUGAUCCUGGCUCAGGAUGAACGCACAAGACGUGCCUAACACAUGCAAAUCGAAUGAAAAGAAUUAAUUAUUGUUUUCAUGGUGAACGGGUGAGUAACACAUAAGAAUCAGCUUUUAGAUAAGGCAUAAAAGAGUAAUAUCUUGGUAAUUCCUUAUAUGCGCAGCAGUGCUUAAAAAGGGGAGUCCCGUCUAAAAACGAGCUUAUGCCUGAUUAGCUAGUUGGCGAGUUAAAAGCUCACCAAGGCGAAGAUCAGUAGCUGGCCUGAGAGGGCGGCCAGCCACAUUGGGACUGAGACACGGCCCAAACUCCUACGGGAGGCAGCAGUGGGGAAUCUUCUGCAAUGGGCGCAAGCCUGACAGAGCGGCGUCGUGUGAAGGAAGAAGGCCUGAAAUAGGUUGUAAACUUCUUUUACUGAGUAAUGAAUAAUGACAACGCAGUAAAAAAGUAUCGGCUAACUCCGUGCCAGCAGCCGCGGUAAUACGGGGGAUGCAAGCGUUAUCCGGAAUCACUGGGCGUAAAGCGUCUGUAGGUGGUUUAGUGUGUUCUUAGUUAAAUUAUGAAGCCUAACUUCAUGAAAAGUAAGAAAACUAUUAGACUUGAGUACGAUAGGGGUAAGAGGAAUUCUUCGAGAAGUAGUGAAAUGCGAAGAUACGAAGGAGAAGAUCAUAAGCGAAGGCUUCUUACUGGGUCGUAACUGACACUGAGAGACGAAAGCUAGGGGAGCGAAUGGGAUUAGAUACCCCAGUAGUCCUAGCUGUAAACGAUGGAUAUUCGGUGCCGGAAAUUUUAUUAGAACAUUUCGGUACCCUAGCUAACGCGUUAAAUAUCCCGCCUGGGGAGUACGCUCGCAAGGGUGAAACUCAAAGGAAUUGACGGGGGCUCGCACAAGCGGUGGAGCAUGUGGUUUAAUUCGAUGCAAAGCGAAGAACCUUACCAGGGCUUGACAGUAUGUAU